This 253-nucleotide ribosomal RNA is filed under the name uncultured bacterium. Its description in RNAcentral is "partial 16S ribosomal RNA". It matches the Rfam family "Bacterial small subunit ribosomal RNA", at positions 524 to 776 of the family's 1533-position model. The record is from RNAcentral.
UACGUAGGGCGCAAGCGUUGUCCGGAAUUAUUGGGCGUAAAGAGCUCGUAGGCGGUUUGUCGCGUCUGUCGUGAAAGCUUGGGGCUUAACCCCAAGUCUGCGGUGGAUACGGGCAGACUAGAGGCAGGUAGGGGAGAACGGAAUUCCCGGUGUAGCGGUGAAAUGCGCAGAUAUCGGGAGGAACACCGGUGGCGAAGGCGGUUCUCUGGGCCUGUACUGACGCUGAGGAGCGAAAGCUAGGGGAGCGAACGGG